AUGGUGACAGGCAUCUGCGACCUCCCGGCGGACUGCCUGGCGCUGGUCGCGUCCCUGACCUCCCCCGGGGACGCGUGCAGGCUGGCGGCCACCGCCAUCGCGCUCCGGGCGGCUGCCGACUCCGACCAGGUCUGGGGGAGCUUCCUCCCGGCGGACUGCACCGACAUCCUCGCGCGGUGUAGUGCUGCCGGUGAUGAGCGCCGCCGGGAAGGAGAAACGAAUAAGGAGCUCUUCUCCCGACUCUGCGACUGCCCCGUCUUUCUCGACGGCGGCAAGCUGAGCUUCUCGCUGGAGAGGCAUAGCGGCGCCAAGAAGUACAUGAUAGCUCUGUGGCACGGGUUUGGUGGCUACCAGUACUACGGAUUGGAGGACUCGUCCAGUCACACUUUCACCUUCACUCCAGUGUGCAGCUGCGCUCUAGGGAGGUGA
Molecule: ribosomal RNA, 429 nt
Filed under: Triticum aestivum (bread wheat)
Lineage: Eukaryota; Viridiplantae; Streptophyta; Magnoliopsida; Poales; Poaceae
Description: partial small subunit ribosomal RNA
Source: RNAcentral